RNAcentral lists this ribosomal RNA (253 nucleotides) under uncultured bacterium. Its description in RNAcentral is "partial 16S ribosomal RNA". It matches the Rfam family "Bacterial small subunit ribosomal RNA", at positions 524 to 776 of the family's 1533-position model. The record is from RNAcentral.
UACGUAGGGCGCAAGCGUUAUCCGGAAUUAUUGGGCGUAAAGAGCUCGUAGGCGGUCUGUCACGUCGGCUGUGAAAUCCCGAGGCUCAACCUCGGGUCUGCAGUCGAUACGGGCAAACUAGAGUAUUGCAGGGGAGACUGGAAUUCCUGGUGUAGCGGUGAAAUGCGCAGAUAUCAGGAGGAACACCGGUGGCGAAGGCGGGUCUCUGGGCAAUAACUGACGCUGAGGAGCGAAAGCGUGGGGAGCGAACAGG